CUAUCAGGCACGGGGUGCCGGGCUGCAGCUCAUUGUGCAGCGCGGCUGAGAUAAGACCCGUUGAACCUGCUCUAGCUCGUACUAGCGAAGGGAUGGCCCAUAUGGCUGACU
This 111-nucleotide non-coding RNA is filed under the name Corynebacterium callunae. Its description in RNAcentral is "TPP sequence". It matches the Rfam family "TPP riboswitch aptamer (THI element)". From Rfam's summary of the family: Vitamin B(1) in its active form thiamin pyrophosphate (TPP) is an essential coenzyme that is synthesised by coupling of pyrimidine and thiazole moieties in bacteria. The previously detected thiamin-regulatory element, thi box was extended, resulting in a new, highly conserved RNA secondary structure, the THI element, which is widely distributed in eubacteria and also occurs in some archaea. The record is from RNAcentral. Lineage: Bacteria; Bacillati; Actinomycetota; Actinomycetes; Mycobacteriales; Corynebacteriaceae.